UCAUAUGCUUAUCUCGAUGAUUAAGCCAUGCAUGCCUAAGUACAAGUACUUUUUACACACACGAAACCGUGGAUGGCUCAUUAUAACAGCUAUUAUCUGAGGGAGAUACGCCUUAACACAGGAUAACUGUGUUAAUUCUAGAGCUAAUACUAGAUAAACAGAUAUCGCGACUCACGAAGCGAUGGUUUUAUCCAACAAAGCCAAUUUGGCUGCAGUUGUACCAAUAGAUUAGAUGAAUCUAGAUAACUUUCUGAUCGAAACGGCCUUUGUGCUGUCGAUCCUUCCCUUUGAGUAGCUGACCUAUCAACCGUCGAUGGUAAGAUAAACGCUUACCAUGGUUAUAACGGGUAACGGGGAAUCAGGGUUCGAUUCCGGAGAGGGAGCCUGAGAGACGGCUACCACAUCCACGGAAGGCAGCAGGCGCGCAACAUACCCAUUGCUUGAAAAGUGAGGUUGUGAAGAUAAAUAACAAUAUGUGUUCAUCACGAAUGCAUAAUUGCAAUGAGCUAUAUGUAAAUGCUUUAUCGAGAAUCAAUUGGAGGGCAAGUCUGGUGCCAGCAGCCGCGGUAAUUCCAGCUCCAAUGGCGUAUAUUAAAGUUGUUGCAGUUAAAAAGCUCGUAGUCGAUAUUCAGGUAUCGUGUCUCUGAUUAUACUCUGUAUUGUCUUAGACGCUACCUCUCAAGGCUGUGUAUACUGCUUCUGUCCUUAACGGAUGGACUUAGUAACCGGUCGGUUUACUUUGAAUAAAAUAGAGUGCUUAAAGCAGGCUUUCGCCCGAAUAAUUGUGCAUGGAAUAAUAAAAUAGGACUUCGGUUCUAUUUAUUGGUUUUCGGAGCUGAAGUAAUGAAUAAAAGGGGCUGACGGGGAUGAACGUACGCUGGUGGGAGAGGUGAAAUUCGUGGAUCAUCAGCAGACGACCAAUUGCGAAAGCAUUCAUCCAGGAUGCCUUCUUUGAUCAAGAACGAAAGUCAGAGGAUCGAAGACGAUCAGAUACCGUCCUAGUUCUGACCAUAAACAAUGCCAUCUAAUGAUCCGUAACGGUUCAUUACUUCUCCAAGUGGGAAAUCUCCGGGAAACCAAAGUCUUUGGGUUCCGGGGGAAGUAUGGUUGCAAAGCUGAAACUUAAAGGAAUUGACGGAAGGGCACCACCAGGAGUGGAGCCUGCGGCUUAAUUUGACUCAACACGGGAAAUCUCACCCGGUCUGGACACUGUGAGGAUUGACAGAUUGAUAGCUCUUUCUUGAUUCGGUGGGUGGUGGUGCAUGGCCGUUCUUAGUUGGUGGAGCGAUUUGUCUGGUUAAUUCCGAUAACGAACGAGACUCAGUCCUGCUAAAUAUGUUUUUCGGUGUAAAUUAGCAGAAAUGAACUUCUUAGAGGUAUAAAUGACGUUCAGUCAAAAGAAAAUGAGCAAUAACAGGUCUGUGAUGCCCUUAGUUGUCCGGGGCCGCACGCGCGCUACAAUGGCAGUACCAACGAGUAUUUUUCCUAGCCUGAGAGGGCCGGGCAACCUGCUCAAUUACUGUCAUAUCUGGGAUAGUGGUUUGCAAUUUUUCCACUUGAACAAGGAAUUCCUAGUAAGUACGAGUCAUCAGCUCGUGCUGACUACGUCCCUGCCCUUUGUACACACCGCCCGUCGCUACUACCGAUUGAAUGGUUUAGUGAGAUUGUUGGAUUUGAACCUACGUAGUUGAUUCUGCCACGGAGCAGAGAAGACAAUCAAAUUUGAUCGUUUAGAGGAAGUAAAAGUCGUAACAAGGUUUCC
The sequence is a ribosomal RNA, 1762 nucleotides long. It matches the Rfam family "Eukaryotic small subunit ribosomal RNA".